GGCUACACACGUGCUACAAUGGCGAUGACAGAGGGACGCAAGCCGGCGACGGUGAGCCAAUCUCUAAAAGUCGUCUCAGUUCGGAUUGUUCUCUGCAACUCGAGAGCAUGAAGUCGGAAUCGCUAGUAAUCGCGUAUCAGCAAUGACGCGGUGAAUACGUUCCCGGACCUUGUACACACCGCCCGUCAAGCCAUGGGAAUUGGGAGGACCUGAAGACGGUUGCCGCAAGGCGCUGUUUAGGGUUAAACCAGUGAC
Molecule: ribosomal RNA, 255 nt
Filed under: Alexandrium margalefii
Lineage: Eukaryota; Dinophyceae; Gonyaulacales; Pyrocystaceae
Description: partial Bacterial small subunit ribosomal RNA
Rfam family: Bacterial small subunit ribosomal RNA
Source: RNAcentral